UACGAAGGGUGCUAGCGUUGUUCGGAAUCACUGGGCGUAAAGCGCGCGUAGGCGGCUUCUCAAGUCAGGGGUGAAAUCCUUGGGCUCAACCCAAGAAUUGCCUUUGAAACUGUGAAGCUGGAGUACUGGAGGGGAUAGCGGAAUUCCUAAUGUAGAGGUGAAAUUCGUAGAUAUUAGGAGGAACACCGGUGGCGAAGGCGGCUAUCUGGACAGUAACUGACGCUGAGGCGCGAAAGUGUGGGGAUCAAACAGG
This 253-nucleotide ribosomal RNA is filed under the name uncultured bacterium. Its description in RNAcentral is "partial 16S ribosomal RNA". It matches the Rfam family "Bacterial small subunit ribosomal RNA", at positions 524 to 776 of the family's 1533-position model. The record is from RNAcentral.